This is a non-coding RNA of Vicia faba (fava bean), 345 nucleotides long. The record is from the annotation of a GenBank genome assembly. NCBI's taxonomy places the organism in Eukaryota, Viridiplantae, Streptophyta, Magnoliopsida, Fabales, Fabaceae.
CAAACAUCAUCCAGCUGUUUCCUGGAAAUUACCAUAACACCCUUCCUCCAUUUUCCAGCUCUGCGUUCUGUGCUGUUCUUUUCAUCACAGUUUCACAGCACACGCUCGCUCACACUUUCUAAUUAUUUCCUUCCAAACACUAAAUUUUCAUUUUUCAUUUUUCAUUGGAGAAGAAAAAAAAGAGAGAGAGAGUUUUUAAAAAUUUUAAACUUGGAGAAUCGAAGAAGAAAGGGUUUGGUUGACCGAGUCAACCCACGCGCCGCCACCUUUAAACGCAACCACUACGGUGGAGUUUGUUACGAUGUCGUUUCACGGAGAGAUGAAGUAGUUAUCGGCGGGAUCUGA